Molecule: long non-coding RNA, 379 nt
Organism: Cucumis sativus (cucumber)
Lineage: Eukaryota; Viridiplantae; Streptophyta; Magnoliopsida; Cucurbitales; Cucurbitaceae
Exons: 2
Source: RefSeq, a predicted model, not a curated record
AACAAACUGUUUUGUAGAAUAAAAGAAUAUGAAAAAGAGGUUAAAUGAAUAAAAGGUGAUUUUACACGUGGCAUUAGAACGACGACGGAUGAUGUACCUAGUCAGCCGGAGCUGCGUGGAGACCGCGUGCAGGUAUAUCAUUCCAACAAACAAGUCGAAUUCAAAUAAGGUGUGUUUGGAUGAAAAAGAAUUAACGUUUUUUUUUGUUUUUUUUUUUUUGUAACUCUUGUUAAAACAAAUUAAACUGAUAUUAAAUAAACUUACCAUGUUUAUACCCAUUGAAAACCGUAGUCGUUUCUCUUUUCCACUUUUUUAUUAGUGUCUUCUUCGUUAAUUCUGCAUGUUGAACUCUUAGAAAAACUUAAUUCUUUUUCUCUAA